GCUAGUAAUCGCAGAUCAGCAUGCUGCGGUGAAUACGUUCCCGGGUCGUUGUACACACCGCCCGUCACACCAUGGGAGGCCGGGGAUGCCCGAAGUCAGUGGCCCAACCGCGAGGGGGGAGCUGCCGAAGGCAGGACCGGUGACUGGGGUGAAGUCGUAACAAGGUACC
RNAcentral lists this ribosomal RNA (169 nucleotides) under uncultured bacterium. RNAcentral's name for it is "partial 16S ribosomal RNA". It matches the Rfam family "Bacterial small subunit ribosomal RNA", at positions 1334 to 1500 of the family's 1533-position model. The record is from RNAcentral.